CGGAGGCAGCAGUGGGGAAUAUUGGGCAAUGGGCGCAAGCCUGACCCAGCCAUGCCGCGUGCAGGAUGACGGCGCUAUGCGUUGUAAACUGCUUUUGUUCGGGAAGAAACCCAUCUACGUGUAGGUGGUUGACGGUACCGAAAGAAUAAGCAUCGGCUAACUCCGUGCCAGCAGCCGCGGUAAUACGGAGGAUGCGAGUGUUAUCCGGAUUCAUUGGGUUUAAAGGGUGCGUAGGCGGAAUAUUAAGUCAGCGAUGAAAUCCUGCAGCUUAACUGUAGAACUGUCAUUGAUACUGGUAUUCUUGAAUUCAGUUGAGGUAGGCGGAAUGUGUAAUGUAGCGGUGAAAUGCUUAGAUAUUACACAGAACACCGAUUGCGAAGGCAGCUUACUAAACUGUUAUUGACGCUGAGGCACGAAAGCGUGGGGAGCAAACAGGAUUAGAUACCCUCGUAU
RNAcentral lists this ribosomal RNA (453 nucleotides) under uncultured bacterium. RNAcentral describes it as "bacterial SSU rRNA". It matches the Rfam family "Bacterial small subunit ribosomal RNA", at positions 343 to 793 of the family's 1533-position model. The record is from RNAcentral.